This 429-nucleotide ribosomal RNA is filed under the name Bacteroidota bacterium. Its description in RNAcentral is "Bacteroidetes bacterium partial 16S ribosomal RNA". It matches the Rfam family "Bacterial small subunit ribosomal RNA", at positions 355 to 776 of the family's 1533-position model. The record is from RNAcentral. Lineage: Bacteria; Pseudomonadati; Bacteroidota.
UAGGGAAUCUUCCGCAAUGGACGCAAGUCUGACGGAGCAACGCCGCGUGAGUGAAGAAGGAUUUCGGUUCGUAAAACUCUGUUGUUAGAGAAGAACAGCGCAUAGAGUAACUGUUAUGCGUGUGACGGUAUGUAACCAGAAAGCCACGGCUAACUACGUGCCAGCAGCCGCGGUAAUACGUAGGUGGCAAGCGUUGUCCGGAUUUAUUGGGCGUAAAGCGAGCGCAGGCGGUCAAUUAAGUCUGAUGUGAAAGCCCCCGGCUCAACCGGGGAGGGUCAUUGGAAACUGGUUGACUUGAGUGCAGAAGAGGAGAGUGGAAUUCAAUGUGUAGCGGUGAAAUGCGUAGAUAUAUGGAGGAACACCAGUGGCGAAGGCGACUCUCUGGUCUGUAACUGACGCUGAGGCUCGAAAGCGUGGGUAGCAAACAGG